GCAGUUUAGUCAUCAUUGGCCGCAGAUUUUGUCCCACCUCCUGCGGUCAGGAGAAUGCGGAAGCGUGAACCGGAAGUGUGUCAAGACUCGGUACAUUAGGAAAAGUUAAUGUGGGCAGAUCAGAUUCGUUGAUGAUCAUCUCCACGAGAGCUUAGAAUUACCAGAAUAAUGCCUAACGCCAACACCGCGCUAUAAAGCGAUAAAAUUAAGAAAAGAUACGCAUAAAGGGGGGAUAUUUAUCCAUAAAACUAAAGGGAUCGAAAUUAGACGCGGUGUCUGCAUUAGAAAACCUGUAACGGUACUGUUUUUGGCAGAACUGCACCUUUCGAGAAAAAACGAACAGUUUCCAGUCAAGAUAUCCUUAUAAGGUGAAAGCAACUUGUUUUAGCUCGUGCUGCUGCGUCUGAUAAGCGACCGUCAGGAACAGCCACAGAAGAACGAGGCUGCAAUUACAUGUUAUGAUAAUUC
Molecule: long non-coding RNA, 468 nt
Filed under: Sinocyclocheilus anshuiensis
Lineage: Eukaryota; Metazoa; Chordata; Actinopteri; Cypriniformes; Cyprinidae
Description: lncRNA (ENSSANG00000024441.1)
Source: RNAcentral